RNAcentral lists this ribosomal RNA (412 nucleotides) under uncultured prokaryote. RNAcentral's name for it is "bacterial SSU rRNA". It matches the Rfam family "Bacterial small subunit ribosomal RNA", at positions 505 to 918 of the family's 1533-position model. The record is from RNAcentral.
GUGUCAGCCGCCGCGGUAAUACGGGGGGAGCGAGCGUUGUCCGGAAUCACUGGGCGUAAAGGGCGUGUAGGCGGGCAUGCCAGUCAGGUGUAAAAGUCUACGGCUUAACCGUAGUUGGUCAUCUGAUACUGCAUGUCUUGAGUUCGAGAGAGGGUGGUGGAAUUCCUGGUGUAGCGGUGAAAUGCGUAGAUAUCAGGAAGAACACCGGAUGCGAAGGCGGCCACCUGGCUCGUAACUGACGCUGAGGCGCGAAAGCUAGGGGAGCGAACGGGAUUAGAUACCCCGGUAGUCCUAGCCGUAAACGAUGGGCACUAGAUGUUCCCACAUUUUGUGGGAGUGUCGAAGCUAACGCGUUAAGUGCCCCGCCUGGGGAGUACGGUCGCAAGGCUGAAACUUAAAGGAAUUGGCGGGG